RNAcentral lists this small RNA (28 nucleotides) under Bombyx mori (domestic silkworm). Its description in RNAcentral is "ovarian small RNA-22829". The record is from RNAcentral. Lineage: Eukaryota; Metazoa; Arthropoda; Insecta; Lepidoptera; Bombycidae.
UAGUAAAUAGAUCUGCCACAGUGGCGCU